GCCAAUGUGGUAUAGCGGUUGGAGUGUUAGACUGUGAUUCUGGAGACCAGGGUUUGAUUCCCAGCUUGGCCA
RNAcentral lists this transfer RNA (72 nucleotides) under Phrynosoma platyrhinos (Desert horned lizard). RNAcentral describes it as "tRNA-OTHER". Lineage: Eukaryota; Metazoa; Chordata; Lepidosauria; Squamata; Phrynosomatidae. The record is from RNAcentral.